CAGCUCAGUUGCAGCUCCAGCGCGUCUCCGACCACCAGGAGCAUAUCUGUCGCGCCUGCAGUUGCGCCGCCAGCUGCUCCGCCACCAGGUCGCGCCACCAUUGCAAGUCAGCCCCUCCUGCGUCGAUCUCAGGUGGUCCAAUCGCUUCCAGCACGCGUAGUUUCAAUCCGGUACGCGUAAAAUCCCAAAUCCUGCAAGAAAAUAAUAUUUUGUUUGGAGGAUUAUAAAAAUUCAAAAAUGCGAGGACAAAGGCUGGAAGCACGUGGCUAGAAAGGCGGUCCUUUUAGAGGACAAUAAAGAACUGUAAUAGAUGGAAAGAAGAAUCGUGGAGUCUAAUUGAAUGAACGAGAUAUGGUUCGAUAGGAGUAAUAAUCAUUGUAUCAAAUAUCAA
This is a long non-coding RNA of Jatropha curcas, 391 nucleotides long. RefSeq lists it as uncharacterized. The record is from RefSeq and is a predicted model, not a curated record. NCBI's taxonomy places the organism in Eukaryota, Viridiplantae, Streptophyta, Magnoliopsida, Malpighiales, Euphorbiaceae.